AUCAUCAUCAUCCUCAUCCUCAUCAGUAUCAUCGCUAUCACUUUCAACCGGUAUUUUGGGCUUUGGAGGAGGUACAUAACUUAUUGUGGACCUUCUGCGUGAACUUGACACAAUAUUACUCGUGUCAAUGCCCUCAAGUUCUUUUGCUCUUUCCUUCCUCUUUCUGACUUCCUUGAUUUCUGAGGAUAUGAAAUCAAUAAGCAAUGGAAAUAAGUGUACGGAUAUCGAUGACCACAUAUUGCAUCCCUUCUAUUUUCCAAAUUAGACCAUAAUCUAACCACCAUAUCAUCAAAAGUCAUUCUUAUACAUUCUAAAUUUACCAAGACGACCACAACACUUUUUGCAGAGCAUGCAAAAUGAUAAUGAAACAAAAGUGCAUUUGAUAUUAUACUUUCCUAUUUCUCUAAGCAAACUGUAAUAUUCUUCCAGAUAUAUUAGUUUCUACGUAUACAGAGGUUUGAUUCCCCCUUUUUCCCUUAUUCAUUGAAAUUGUCAAAAUAAACAAUACAGCAACAAACAAUGUACACUGGAAUAUCUGAUCAUUUUAUCUACAGAUAACAGAACAAAAAUUUUCAACUGUUUCUUGAAGAGGGAAGAAAGGGGGGGAUUGGGGGGGACGGGGGGAGAGUGGGUUGAUUAGUAGGCCUUUCGCCCCUGGACCGUGCAACAGGAUGGUAACCCUCCCGCACUCUAUUACCACCCAAUUCCACCUUAUCGGGUAUGAUAGUUCUCUCUUAUCCACAGGGGAGUUACUGGCUUGGAGAAAUAACUCAAGUUAUUAAAAAUAAUAAGAAAUGUCUUUUUAGUUUUUACCCAUUUCAGCUCAGCUGUAGCCUUUUGGUAUACAAGAGAACAGAGCAUUAAAGGGGUAGGAAAAGGAAUACUGCUUCAUGAAGCCCAUUGUUUGGCUUCAGCAAAAUGAGAUUUCUAAAAGCAAAAAGAAACCUAUUGCCAGCAAGAAAAUAAAAUAACAAUCAACAUUAAACUAAUUUCGUAAGGAAACAAUAUCAAACCCAAAAAGUAGCACAGUAGUUAUUCACCUAAAAUAUCAGAGCUAGAAGUUGAUAGACACCUUUUUCAGAAGGGUUUGAUGACAAUCCUUCUCUAGAAAGUAUCUCCUCCAGCUCCUUUAUUAGCUGGGCCUCACGUUUGCUCUCAGGAACCUGUUUAACCUUCUUGUAAACUACAGGAGGCACACUCAUCCCACAGGAUUUUAUUACAGAUUUUAGAUGCUCAACAUGUUUCCCAUAUGCUGGAGUUGAAGCUUCCCUUUUCUUGACUGGUUUUUCAGCUGAUGAUUGAGAAUGGCCAUCUUCAGAGGCAUUUCCACUGUCUUCUGCAUCACUAUUGUCCUCUGCUACUGUUUCCACAGGCUUUAUCCGCUUCUUGCCAGAUACUUCGGAUUCCUUUUCAAGCCUCUUCCGUUUUUUAGUCCCCUCAGAAUUUAGCACCUUUUGCUUUGGACCAAUUUUCUUCUUUGGGUUUACUUCUUCAUCCUCCUCAUCACUUUCACGAUCCGAAGAAUCUGAACUACCUUCACUGCUCAUCUUUUUAGAUGCUUUGCCUUGAGAUUUAGUUUUUAUAUUUUUCUUCUUAGGUUCAGGAACUUCAGAAGAUUGUAAUACCUCAUCUAACUGCUUGCUUAUAAGUGUCUUGUAGGGAUCAAGUGCAUGUUUUUCAAGUCUUAAAUCUUCCUCUAAAAGUCGGCGAAGUCCAGCCAUUGUAACCUUUUCAGAAUUAACUUUGAUAUAGGAAGCUCUUUUCAACAAGGCUUUCUUUAUGCUGCUAUCGCUUGGAACUUCUUUAUUCUUAUCAAUUAGAGUUUCCUUGGUUUCUGAUUUGGGUGGUUUUUUCCCUGUCAAAAGGCCCAUCACAGGAGAGUCUUCCAUUUUCUGCUCAUCUUCAGAAUAAGGUUCUUUUCUGUCAUUUUUAGAUUCAUGCCCUUCAGGUGAUUCUAUUGCUUCUCUUUUUGUUGAACAGGCGUGUUUCUCCUCAGUUUCCCAAGAAUCCUUGGAAACAUUGUCAUUAACAGCACCUUCUAAGCACUCGACCAGACAUUGCUUAACAAAUCUCUUGUGCACAUCCAGUGCAUACUUCUGCAAUCCCAAGUCCUUCUCUAAGAGCCUCCUUACCCCUUCAAAGGUCAAAGAAUCGGCUUGUUCUUUGAAGUGGUUGACGCGGGAGCCCAUAGCAUCCUCAAUCAGCGACUCGAUAUCAGGCGAUUCCUCCGGCGGCGUUUCAUUUUUCACCGUCUCGGUAUCUUGAGGCUCCUCUGCCAUUCUCGGCGCUACUGACAGCGGGAAAACGGAGACGGAGUUUUUUCUUUGCGGGGCUAAAAAGUCUAAAAUACACACCGGAAAUGGAGAACCCAGGAAAAAGAGGGGGCCUAGGAAAGUUCAUGGCAACUCUUUUGAAAGCUGUCGUGCAUUUACACGCGCUCCUCCAACGACACCUCCUAUUUCCAUCGUUUAGGAGGAUCCGUG
Molecule: unclassified non-coding RNA, 2483 nt
Filed under: Hevea brasiliensis (rubber tree)
Lineage: Eukaryota; Viridiplantae; Streptophyta; Magnoliopsida; Malpighiales; Euphorbiaceae
Source: RNAcentral